RNAcentral lists this ribosomal RNA (253 nucleotides) under uncultured bacterium. Its description in RNAcentral is "partial 16S ribosomal RNA". It matches the Rfam family "Bacterial small subunit ribosomal RNA", at positions 524 to 776 of the family's 1533-position model. The record is from RNAcentral.
UACAGAGGGUGCAAGCGUUAAUCGGAAUUACUGGGCGUAAAGCGCGUGUAGGCUGCUCGGAAAGUCGGAUGUGAAAGCCCUGGGCUCAACCUAGGAAGUGCAUUCGAAACUUCCAAGCUGGAGUGCUGGAGAGGAAGGCGGAAUUCUCGGUGUAGAGGUGAAAUUCGUAGAUAUCGAGAGGAACACCGGUGGCGAAGGCGGCCUUCUGGACAGUAACUGACGCUCAGGCGCGACAGCGUGGGGAUCAAACAGG